This 398-nucleotide ribosomal RNA is filed under the name uncultured bacterium. RNAcentral's name for it is "bacterial SSU rRNA". It matches the Rfam family "Bacterial small subunit ribosomal RNA", at positions 28 to 430 of the family's 1533-position model. The record is from RNAcentral.
GACGAACGCUGGCGGCGUGCUUAACACAUGCAAGUCGAGCGGUAAGGCCCUUUCGGGGGUACGACGAGCGGCGAACGGGUGAGUAACACGUGGGUGACCUGCCUCUAGCUCUGGGAUGAGCCUGGGAAGCUGGGUCUAAUACCGGAUAUGACCUCGCGGUGCAUGUUGCGGGGUGGAAAGCCUUGUGCGGCUAGGGAUGGGCCCGCGGCCUAUCAGCUUGUUGGUGGGGUGAUGGCCUACCAAGGCGACGACGGGUAGCCGGCCUGAGAGGGCGACCGGCCACACUGGGACUGAGACACGGCCCAGACUCCUACGGGAGGCAGCAGUGGGGAAUCUUGCGCAAUGGGCGAAAGCCUGACGCAGCGACGCCGCGUGAGGGAUGACGGCCUGGUGUAACU